ACUGCCUCCAGAGGCAAUGCAGGUGUGUUUGGUAUGUCACAUGGGUUUCAAUAAGUGAAAGACAGGAGAGAGGUUUUGUCUACAUUCACUGUUCUGAGAUAUGAACUUCUGAAUGAUUAGCAGCCUAACAUU
Acomys russatus (golden spiny mouse) is the source of this 132-nucleotide small nucleolar RNA. RefSeq annotates it as small nucleolar RNA SNORA17. NCBI's taxonomy places the organism in Eukaryota, Metazoa, Chordata, Mammalia, Rodentia, Muridae. The record is from RefSeq and is a predicted model, not a curated record. The transcript has a single exon.